Molecule: ribosomal RNA, 1626 nt
Filed under: Triticum aestivum (bread wheat)
Lineage: Eukaryota; Viridiplantae; Streptophyta; Magnoliopsida; Poales; Poaceae
Description: partial small subunit ribosomal RNA
Source: RNAcentral
AUGAAUGGCUACAUAGAUUAUUCCAGAACAAGGAGAAGUGGGCUUUGGUUUAUGGUCGACAAACCUUUUUGUGCAGACAUGAAAUCUAUACAAAGAAGCGAGAGUCUGAAUGCACUAUUGAAACGAUACCUGCAUGUUCGCCUUGAUUUGUUAGAUUUCUUCAAGCAUUAUGAGAGGGCUGUGGAUGAUAGAAGAUAUGCUGAAGUGGAAAGUGAUUUCUAUGUGAGUCAAACAUCACCAAAGGUGCCAUAUGUGCAGAUGUUGAUACAAACUUCGAAAGCAUAUACGCCCGCUAUGUUUGAGAUAUUUAAAGGAGAAUUUGACAUGGUAAUGGGAUAUUGUGUGUACGAGAGUGGUCGUACGGGCUCUAUUCCUGAAUUCAAGGUUACCCAUUCAACUAGCCAAAAUAGUCAUACUGUGAAAUUUGAUCCCGAUGGAUCAAAAGUGUCAUGCUCAUGCAAAAAGUUUGAAUUUGUUGGGGUAUUGUGUCGUCAUGCAUUGAAGGUGUUGGACCACAAUAAUAUCAAGGAGUUGGCACCGGAAUAUAUCUUGAAAAGAUGGACAAGGCGAGCAAAAUCAGGUCCAUCACAGGCAAUUCAAAAGUGCUCUGAUGAUGAAGAUACAAGAGUUGUGCUAGCUAGACAAUAUGGAUCACUAUGCCGCACUUAUAAUAACAUUUUGAGCAAAGCAGCAGCAAGCAAAGAGGCAUAUGCACUACUGCAAAGUAUGUCAAUUGAACUAAUGGAAAAGGUGGACCAAAUUUUACAUGGAAAUCAAUCAGAAGAUAUAUCACCAGAGCAUGAACAAGCAGAGAAGCAACCAGUUGAAUGCAACAUUGAGAAUGUAGUCCAAGCACAGGGAAUAAAGAGAAAAGAACAAGGAAGUAGCAACAAGAGGAUUAAAUCUGGACUAGAACUGAACAGUAAGAAUAAACGUAAUUCGAAAGGUCAAGGAGCAACAUGCAAGAAUAAGAGUGGUGAAUGUGCUUCUGCAUCAUCUGGAGCAAAUCCUAGCUUGAACAUAUCAAAUAAGAAUAAACGUAAUACGAAAGGUCAAGGAGCAGCAUGCAAGAAUAAGAGUGGUGAUUGUGCUUCUGCAUCAUCUCGAGCAAAUCCAGUAUUGGAGCAUGCUAUGCCUCCAGUACCAGAUGCUGCUAAUUAUAAUCAGCAAGUAUUGCAGCAUGUUAUGCCUCCAGUACCAAAUGCUGCUAAUUACAAUCAACAAGUAUCGCAGCAUGCUAUGCCUCCACUAUCAAAUGUUGCGAAUUACAAUCAGCAAGUAUUGCAGCAUGUUAUGCCUCCACUACCAAAUGUUGCUAAUUACAAUAUGCAAGGAUUGCCACACGCUAUACCUCCGCUACCACAAGUUGUUUCCCCAUUGCCACAUGCACAUAAUUACAAUUUGCAUGUACUGCCGCCGGGUACUAUGACAUCGGUACCACAACCUGAGAACUACAAUUUACAAGUAUUACAGCAUGGCUUGCCUUCGCUAUCGCAGGCAGACACUGCUAGUUUUCAACAGUUACUUGGCUUGCGGCAACAACAACCAUAUUUCUAUCAUAGCACUCAACCAAGCCAGACUUCUAUGGUGUCACCAUACUCUGAGAUGGCCAACAUCUCAAAAUGA